AAAUAACUCAACACACAGCCAUUAAUGUCUAAACCACUGGCAACAAAAGUGAGUACACCCCUAAGUGAAAAUGUCCAAAUUGGGCCCAAAGUGUCAAUAAAAAUAUGGUGUGGCCACCAUUAUUUUCCAGCACUGCCUUAACCCUCUUGGGCAUGGAGUUCACCAGAGCUUCACAGGUUGCCACUGGAGUCCUCUUCCACUCCUCCAUGACGACAUCACGGAGUUGGUGGAUGUUAGAGACCUUGUGGUCCUCCACCUUCUGUUUGAGGAUGUCCCACAGAUGCUCAAUAGGGUUUAGUCCAUCACCUUCACCCUCAGCUUCUUUAGCAAGGCAGUGGUCGUCUUGGAGGUGUGUUUGGGGUCGUUAUCAUGCUGGAAUACUGCCCUGCGGCCCAGUCUCCGAAGGGAGGUCAUCGUGCUCUGCUUCAGUAUGUCACAGUACAUGUUGGCAUUCAUGGUUCCCUCAAUGAACUGUAGCUCCCCAGUGCGCAGCACUCAUGCAGCCCAAGACCAUGACACUCCCACCACCAUGCUUGACUGUAGGCAAGACACAGUUGUCUUUGUACUCCUCACCUGGUUGCCACCACACACGCUUGACACCAUAUGAACCAAAUGAGUUUAUCUUGGUCUCAUCAGACCACAGGACAUGGUUCCAGUAAUCCAUGUCCUUAGUCUGCUUGUCUUCAGCAAACUGUUUGUGGGCUCUUUUGUGCAUCAUCUUUAGAAGAGGCUUCCUUCUGGGACGACAGCCAUGCAGACCAAUUUGAUGCAGUGUACUGCGUAUGGUCUGAGCACUGACAGGCUGACCCCCCACCCCUUCAACCUCUGCAGCAAUGCUGGCAGCACUCUAUUGCCCAAACACAACCUCUGGAUAUGACACUGAUCAUGUGCACUCAACUUCUCUGGUCGACCAUGGUGAGGCCUGUCCUGUUAAACCGCUGUAUGGUCUUGGCCACCGUGCUGCAGCUCAGUGUCAGGGUCUUGGUAAUCUUCUUAUAGCCUAGGCCAUCUUUAUGUAGAGCAACAAUUCUUUUUUUCAGAUCCUCAGAGAGUUCCUUGCCAUGAGGUGCCAUGUUGAACUUGAAGUGACCAGUAUGAGGGAGUGUGAGAGCAGUGACACCAGAUUUAACACACCUGCUCCCCAUUCACACCUGAGACCUUGUAAUACUAACAAGUCACAUGACACCGGGGAGGGAAAAUUGCUAAUUGGGCCCAAUUUGGACAUUUUCACUUAGGGGUGUACUCACUUUUGUUGCCAGCGGUUUAGACAUUAAUGGCUGUGUGUUGAGUUAUUUUGAGGGGACAGCAAAUUUACACUGUUGCACAAGCUGUACACUCACUACUUUACAUUGUAGCAAAGUGUCAUUUCUUCAGUGUCGUCACAUGAAAAGUUAUAAUCAAAUAUUUACAAAAAUGUGAGGGGUGUACUCACUUUUGUGAGAUACUGUAUAUGCUAGGAACAACUUCUUACAUUGGAUCCAAAACUGCUGACAUAGGAACAAGCUCAUUUUAUGGAAAGAAGAGAGGUAAGUAAAAUGUUUAGUUUAGUUUUUUUUUUUAUAUAUUAUAAUCACGUAUCACACAUAUUCUUGUUUAUUAAAGUGUCAGGAAUAAUACAUUUAGUUCUGAAAGCAGUUCAAUUGUUUGUGUUUCAAAAUAUUAGCCUUUUUAUGAAUGCAAAUUAUAGUGGACACCAGGACCAUCUUAAUGUACUUAAUGACUCCAUGUUGUGGGAGACAGAACUGAAGCAGAGAGGAUUCUUUAUAAGAUAGUUGAGGGAGAUUCAGACGUAGACCUGUAAGAUGAUGAGAGAGACGAUGAGAAUUUGAACCUGAUAUACAAGAAGAUGGUGAAGAAGAGGAAGGAAAUGCAGGAGACUCAGAUAAGCAGGCAGAUAAAGACACAGAGACAGAAAGGGAUGAGCAGGGAAAUACGUCGCCCUCUGUGGACCAGGAGUAACACAUAUGAAUUAUUUAGUUCCAGGAUAAUUUAUUCAGUUCUAAUAAUUAGCCACUAUUAAUAUUGUAGUGAACUGUUCUAUACACACAUACACACAAUUCACUACAACCAAUGAGAAAUCAUCAGUGAUAAAUAUAAUUUAUCAGUGAGGCUUGAAGAUUAUCCACACAGUAUCAUGAAAUAUGCAAACUGGCUAUAGAAUGCAAGGUUUGUACUUAUGAGUGUAGUCAAUAGGAGACCAUGUCACAUCUGUAACACUGGAAUUCAACUCGAUUUGAGUGAGGUUUAAUUAUUAUUCAUAUUACAUUUCAUUUAUAAGUGUUUUUUCCUCCCAUCAUAAUCGAUUCACACCUGUGCUCCCUGGGCUUCCUGACUGUAAAGAUGGCCCUACUACCCUUCUCCCAGUACAGUGACAACAAAAUGUUCAAAAUUGGCAGCAUUUACAAAUCAAAGAGAGCUACAAAAUAGCUGUUUCUAAAUACUACUCCACAAGAAAUGAAGAUCGUCUUCGGCAUUUCAGUCCACAUGGCCUGCAUAGGCUAUCUCAGAAUUCAAAUGUUUUGGGCCAAAAAACAAAAGUGCCAGUUAUAAGCAGCAGAAUGACAAGGAAUACGUGUUUUUUUUUCAAGCUGAGAAGCUCACUCAAGAUUGUCGGUGACCUGGCUAUAUCAUAUGAAACAAAGAAGGCAGACGUUCUUUGGAAAGUCAGGCCAUUACUUGACCGCAUGAGGCAAGGCUAUCUCAGCCUCCAAAAGUCAGAGAAGGUCUGCAUCGAUCAGCAAAUCAUCCCUUUCACAGGCUGCUGUCCAGUCAGGCAAUAUGUUCCAGGCAAGCCAAACCCUACUGGCCUAAAGGUCUUUGUCCUAUACAAGUACACAGUGUAAAAAUAUAGUGCAUAGUGUGUGACUUGAGACGUAACCCAGCAGUGUACAGGCUUGUUCUUUAGCAAUAACUGCACACCACACACACACACACACACACACACACACACACACACACACACACACACACACACACACACACACACACACACACGCCCUCUCUCUCUCACUCACACAC
Ictalurus punctatus (channel catfish) is the source of this 3018-nucleotide long non-coding RNA. Lineage: Eukaryota; Metazoa; Chordata; Actinopteri; Siluriformes; Ictaluridae. The record is from Ensembl.